UGAGCUGGCCGGGCGGCCGCGAGGAGGUGACUCCUCGAGGAAGGUCCGGGCUCCGAAGGGCAAGGGUGGUGGGUAACGCCCACCCGGGGUGACCCGCGGGACAGUGCCACAGAAAGCAAACCGCCGCCGCGCUUGCGCGGAGGUAAGGGUGAAACGGUGGUGUAAGAGACCACCAGCGUUCCGGGUGACCGGAACGGCUCGGUAAACCCCACCCGGAGCAAGGUCAAGAAGGACCGUCGCGAGACGGUCUGCGCGGAUGUUCGAGGGCGGCCCGCCCGAGUCCGCGGGUAGACCGCACGAGGCUGUCGGCAACGGCAGCCCUAGAUGGAUGGUCGCCGACCGCGACGCCGCGAGGCGCGCGGGGACAGAACCCGGCCUACAGGCCAGCUCAUCCC
Molecule: RNase P RNA, 395 nt
Filed under: Nocardioides iriomotensis
Lineage: Bacteria; Bacillati; Actinomycetota; Actinomycetes; Propionibacteriales; Nocardioidaceae
Description: Bacterial RNase P class A
Rfam family: Bacterial RNase P class A
About the family: Ribonuclease P (RNase P) is a ubiquitous endoribonuclease, found in archaea, bacteria and eukarya as well as chloroplasts and mitochondria. Its best characterised activity is the generation of mature 5'-ends of tRNAs by cleaving the 5'-leader elements of precursor-tRNAs.
Source: Rfam by way of RNAcentral